AUGAACGCUCGCGGCGUGCCUAAUACAUGCAAGUCGAGCGAACAGACGAGGAGCUUGCUCCUCUGACGUUAGCGGCGGACGGGUGAGUAACACGUGGAUAACCUACCUAUAAGACUGGGAUAACUUCGGGAAACCGGAGCUAAUACCGGAUAAUAUAUUGAACCGCAUGGUUCAAUAGUGAAAGACGGUUUUGCUGUCACUUAUAGAUGGAUCCGCGCCGCAUUAGCUAGUUGGUAAGGUAACGGCUUACCAAGGCGACGAUGCGUAGCCGACCUGAGAGGGUGAUCGGCCACACUGGAACUGAGACACGGUCCAGACUCCUACGGGAGGCAGCAGUAGGGAAUCUUCCGCAAUGGGCGAAAGCCUGACGGAGCAACGCCGCGUGAGUGAUGAAGGUCUUCGGAUCGUAAAACUCUGUUAUUAGGGAAGAACAAAUGUGUAAGUAACUAUGCACGUCUUGACGGUACCUAAUCAGAAAGCCACGGCUAACUACGUG
RNAcentral lists this ribosomal RNA (496 nucleotides) under uncultured bacterium. Its description in RNAcentral is "partial 16S ribosomal RNA". It matches the Rfam family "Bacterial small subunit ribosomal RNA", at positions 29 to 507 of the family's 1533-position model. The record is from RNAcentral.